CAAGCAAAAGAGAUACUGUCGUUGGAUGGUGUAUGAAUUAGAGACUUUUGCAGAGGUUCUAAAGACUUCCUAGAACUCAUCAAAAGUGCAUUUGUGGUGGGGCCCUGGAAGAUUAGAAGUAUAUCAGUUUGAACUCUAAUUUGUGUUCAUGUAUCAUGCAACCUUUAUUUUGUGAAGUUUUGCUGAA
This is a long non-coding RNA of Setaria italica (foxtail millet), 187 nucleotides long. RefSeq lists it as uncharacterized. The transcript has 2 exons. Lineage: Eukaryota; Viridiplantae; Streptophyta; Magnoliopsida; Poales; Poaceae. The record is from RefSeq and is a predicted model, not a curated record.